CCCUGGCUCCAGGUGUAGUAAAAACACUCUUGGGCUGGCUUUUCUGUACCUUCUGUUCCUAAGCUGCAGGAUUCAAUUUCCUUCUGCUUGGUUGUGAUCAGAGAAGAAAGAUAACCUAUGUGUACUAGCCUUAUGUACUAACCAAGGGAUGAUCUUGCCCUUCAGCCUAUAAAGCUACAAAGAAGUUGUUAUAUAUCCUGAGCAGUUUACAGAUGCAGAAAGCCUUUCCUCCUUGACUCACAGAAGGAUUGACCAGUAGGCAGUUUGUUUGCUCACCACUUCCAAACUGCAGGGACAAGGAACCCAGGGUGUGAGAGGAUACAAGGCUUCCCUUCCCCCAUGAGCUGUGUCUCCACCUGAACGGGUGCGUUUUUGAGAGCGUCCCUCCUGGUGCAUGGAGGACCCUUCUUUUCCGACCUUACCUAGCAAUUUAGUGCAAAUGCCUGGAAGAACAGAGAGGGCGUUUGGACAGCUCUCUCUUCCUGCACCAUUAGAGGAUCUUUGAGCUGUCUUUCUUCUGGCAACGCUGCCAGCAAAAUAAGUUUCUGAGCAUAAAACAUUGCUACUUCUUGUGUAUUGGGAGAUCUGCUGGUAAAAGUGUGGGUAUAAAAUGCUCUCUGAGGUUGUUCUAUUUGGUGGAGGAAAAGCCAGAGAUUCAGUAUUAUUUUUGCUUAAUCAACAUACUGCGAAAGGAGAACAAUGCAAACUUGUUAGUCAUUUUCCAAUACUCUAGAUAUUGAGAGGAUGAAUAAAUCUCCAACAAUGUAGUGAUGCUGUGGUGGCUUCCAAAAGCCCUUCCUGCCUGAUGCCACAGCUCUUCGUGGGUCACUGUCAGUACGAACCCUAUGCUGCCCAUGCAGGUUUUGGGGCAUUGGAAUUUUUUUGGGGAAGGCUAUCAUUUAAGAGCUGUGGGCUCUUCACGAGA
This is a long non-coding RNA of Pezoporus occidentalis (night parrot), 925 nucleotides long. RefSeq lists it as uncharacterized. The record is from RefSeq and is a predicted model, not a curated record. NCBI's taxonomy places the organism in Eukaryota, Metazoa, Chordata, Aves, Psittaciformes, Psittacidae. The transcript has 3 exons.